GAAGACUCAAAUGUCCGACAGCCGCUGAAGGCAGCAGGAGUCCUCCCAGUCAGAUCUGGCUGAACGUGACGUGCCGACUCGGAGCCGAGCGAGGUUUCCUGGCGGAGCUGCAGAGGGAGCAGGAGCCGAGCGGGUCUGUCUGUCUGUCUGUCCGUGUGUCUGUCUGCCGCCGCAGUCUCUGUCUGUCUGGGACACAAAACCCCCCUUUUCGGCUUCCACAGUCCGCACACGGCAUCAGCGGCUAUGGAUCCAUCGCUGUCCUCCUCCUGUUUUCGCCACUGAGGGACCGUUGGAUGCUCCAGUGCCCAUAGAGGAGGGAAGGAGGAGGAGGGGGCAUCCCUGUCGUUCUUCGACUACCAGGACCCAAUCGUGGACAAUAAAUCAGAGACGGGAGGUGUUUGUCGUACCGAGGGCCGCAGCGGCGAGCCGGCUUCUGAAAUAUCCAGCGGCUGCUCCUGUCAGCCAUUGUUUUUGUUGUCAUUGGAGGGCUCACAUUUGUUUUCCAGCCCUGGAUCUGCCCAGUGAAGGUGUAUGUGUGAGCUGUGCAUCGAGGGAACAUGGACAGUCUUUCACACCUUGUAUCCUUACAGCUCAUAGUGCUGAUAUGUCAAUGAUCACUGUCAGUACAGGGAAUGUAGGUAUUACCCUUAAUGUGUUAAAUUGUACAAGAAAGACCAGCCUCCAGGGGAUGGUGAAAUGCUGUUGGAGUCAUGCUUUGUUGUUAAAUUAGGUUACUUUUAAAUACUAGCAGGGGUGAAACAUCUAAGUCUUAUCUAAUGAUGAUCUCAUGAAUGUGACGUGGGCAAUUUUGUUAUGGGUGAUACAUUACAAUGGCAGUCCUUUAUAAAUCACCACUGUAUCUGUUAAACUGAACAGGGAAAUAUUUACCUCUGUGGUAAACACGGAGGCAGUUCAGGGUAAUUUUCAUCAGAGAAACAUUUAGAAACACAUUGUAGUCAUUCCAUAUUUAGUCAUUAGGGUGAUAUCACUGUUUGUAAGAAUGAUAUCAUCUGAACUUGUUCCACACGACCUUCCAAGUGAAUGAGCAUGCUGUAAAUAUACCCUGACAAUAGUAAUUGUUACGUUUGGUUCCUUGCAAUACAUCACAGUCAAACACGGUUAAUUGCUUUCAACAUCAGUUUGUUUCUUAUUUAGAUUUUCCAUUCGUUUGCUAAAUAUCACUAUCGAAAAUGUAUUUUUGGGCAUGUCACAGUGAUUUCAAACAUUGCUUUAAGAGUCACUACAAACAAGAGCCAUUAAAGACUACAGAAUACAGAACAUACACAUGCUAACAUUUGUACAUUGCCAUUCUCAGCUGGAAAACACUUCAGGUCAAGUUGUGUUGUUUUAAAUGUGCUAUAUGAAUAAUGGAAACUUGACUAGAUAUUCAGUCCCAUGCAAAAGCAUUAGUAGUGGUUCUGUGAGUUUAAUCUAACUUGGUGUCUUCCAGUGUCUUCCAUCUUUUGGUAUAAACUUAGACUAACUCCAAGAUGUUAAGAUCAGGGCUCUGUGAUGUCCAGACCAUCUGCUGCAGGGCUCUUUGUUCUUCUUGAUGCUGAAGUUAGUUUUUCAUGACUCUGGCUGGAUGUUUGUGCUUGUUAUCCUGCUGCAGAAUAGAUUUGGAGCAAUUCGAGACCCCGCUGAUGGUAUUGCAUGGUGGACAAGAAUCUGAACAUCUAAAGUACCUAAGACCAUUGCGCAGGAGUGUACAUUGCUGCGUCAAAUAUAUGUCAUUCCACCUCAGAUCCUACAAUGAGUUUAGCAAUGUGAGAGGUUGUUAUGAUGGAGAUGUUGAGUGAUCCUUAAGCUCUUGGUUUGGCAGCAGGAAGAGAUCAAUAGUACAUAAAUCACUGUUUGUACAAGAAAUUACAUUACUGUAUAGUAUAGAUUUAGGAAAAAAAACCUUAAAAUAUUGGUUCAGCUUGAUUGAAUGUGAGUCAAGGAGAGAUGGGGUUAAGGAAGAAGUGUUGGUGAUGAGAAGGAAGAGAGGAAGGUACCUGAAUUCUGCGAGGAAGACGGAUGAAAUAAGAGAAGAGAAAGUGAGCCAACGGAGCUCUAUGCUUACAUUUAUCUUUAGCAGCACUGGUGUCCCUGAAGAAGAGAAGGAAUAACACGAACACAUCUCCUUUUCAAACUAAAUAUUUAAGACACAGUAGUGUAUGUAUAUGACAGGGGAAAGCAGUCUCCUAUAGAAGGAGCUAGUAAAUGAAGCUGGUUUGUACUUGAUUAGUGCAUCCCUUUUCUGCUGAAAUUAGGGUUGGGAUUCUAGCGUUUCAUCCACCUGAGCCCAGUAUUGAAUUCGCUGUAAUCGCACUUUUUUAGUGAACUUCUUUCAUUUUAAAGUUCAACUUUUGUGACAGAAAUUCUAAACAACUUCCUUUUAAAAGAUCCAGGUAAAAUCUGUCGGUUGAGGAGACCGACAUAGUUUUGAAUGGUAGCCUAAUGAAUGUUCACAACCUGUAGUUUAAACCUGCAGAUGGGAUCAGACAGAGCACAGUUCAUUUUCAAAGAAGAUGCUCAGCAUACAUAGUAAAAGUAAAUAAAUAUUCACAGCAACAGAAGAUAAUCAAAUGUUGAUUGAAUAUGUAUUUACAUAUUGAAAUAACGGCUGCCUGCUGACUCUGUAACAUUUUCCGACAGCUCCCUGCUGCAAAUGCUGGAGAUCGUGAUUCAGAACUAAUAGCUGAUUCACUUCAUUUAUUGAUCUGAACUGAAUAAAAGUACAGCUGGGUUGAUUCUGAUUCCUAAAACUGACAUGAUGUGAUGCUUUUACUGGUAAAGACUCUUACCUUGUUGGGCAUGUUGGAACCACAGAAAUACUCAGUUUGCUCUGAUUAUUUAGUGGCUACAAAAGGCGAUGCAUCUUUUACCUCAUAAACCAUCUUUGGCUUUGUACAGUCACCUGUGUUGUCUUUCAGCUCGUUUCCACUUCGGCAACAGAAAAAUUUCAAUUUGGCCUGUCAUCAAGUUAAGCCCUGGAAUUAACGUUGACUGCCGAUAAGACCUUCUGCUGGUCAUUUUAAUCUCAGUCAGCACCGUCUAAAAGUAAAAGGCCUUUACCUGAAUGUUGUUUACUCUGAUCUUUGAUAAUAAGAACUCAGAAACAUUGGUGCGUCCCAGUUAUUUGUCACACUAUAAAUUUGAUUUGCAUAUGCAACCAAAAUAAACACACUGUGGAGGCCAAGAAUUAGUUAAUGCAUAGGUUGAAUAGAAGGACCAGCUACAGUCAAGGGGGGUACGAUGGAGGGAAGACGGGGAAGGGGAGAAGGACAGGGAGGAGCAGGGAAAGAAAUGAGAGCAGGGGCUAAAGAAGGAUGGAAAGAGGUCAGAGAAGGAGGGAGGCACAGGAAUUUUAAAUGCAAAGUAAAAGAUGAUGAGGAUGAAAUGAUGUCAGUGGAGUGGUAGAUUGAUGUGGAUGGAGGGAAAGAAAGAAGGAAGGAAGAAGAAAAGAAAAGUAAAAAGUGGAGUUGGUGAAAGACUAAUGGAGAGAAGGAAGGAAGUGUGAGUGUAAAAAGGUUAAUGAAGAAUGGAUAAAACAAAGGAGGGAGAGGAGGAAGGGAUGGAUGAUGAAGGAAAGUGAGAGUAGAAGUUGGUAAAUGAGGGAGUGGAGGGAAGGAAGGAAGGAAAGACGUGAGAGAGGGAAGUACUGGAGAAACUUCUGUGAGGGAGGAGGAGGAAGUGAUGAACAGAAAAAUGGAGGGAUGAUGGAUGUGAGGAGAUGAUGAAAAAGAAGGAAGGAAAACAGCAGAAGUAGUGGUAAAAAGUUUAGGUAAAAGUAGUUAGUGAAGCAGUGAGAGAGGCAAGAGGCAGGAAGAGGAAGAGUUAAGGAGGUUGGAGGUGAGAAUAGCACGAAAAGAGUGAAGGAUGAAGUGGAGGUAGAAGUAGUUAGGGGGUGACUGACAAAGAGAAGGAGGAAAGUGGGAGAGGGUGAAUGUUAUGAGGAGACUUGGAAAAUGGAGGGAGAGAAGAAGGUAAGGGAAGGAAGAUAGGGGACUGUCGAGAAAGAGGUCAAAGGGAAAGACUGUAGGAAAAGUGAAGAAGAGAAGGAGUUGGUGGAGAAGGGAGGGAACAAAGGAAGCAAGGAAAAGGU
This is a long non-coding RNA of Amphiprion ocellaris (clown anemonefish), 4090 nucleotides long. The record is from Ensembl. NCBI's taxonomy places the organism in Eukaryota, Metazoa, Chordata, Actinopteri, Pomacentridae.